Molecule: ribosomal RNA, 254 nt
Filed under: uncultured bacterium
Lineage: Bacteria
Description: partial 16S ribosomal RNA
Rfam family: Bacterial small subunit ribosomal RNA
Source: RNAcentral
CACGUAGGGGGCGAGCGUUGUCCGGAUUUAUUGGGCGUAAAGAGCUCGUAGGUGGCUCGGUAAGUCGGGUGUUAAACCCCCAGGCUCAACCUGGGGACGCCACUCGAUACUGCUGUGGCUAGAGUCCGGUAGGGGAGCGUGGAAUUCCUGGUGUAGCGGUGAAAUGCGCAGAUAUCAGGAGGAACACCAGCGGCGAAGGCGGCGCUCUGGGCCGGUACUGACACUGAGGAGCGAAAGCGUGGGUAGCAAACAGG